RNAcentral lists this ribosomal RNA (324 nucleotides) under uncultured bacterium. RNAcentral's name for it is "bacterial SSU rRNA". It matches the Rfam family "Bacterial small subunit ribosomal RNA", at positions 28 to 334 of the family's 1533-position model. The record is from RNAcentral.
GACGAACGCUGGCGGCGUGCUUAACACAUGCAAGUCGAACGGAGUUCCUUGGAAAGAGAUUUCGGUCAAUGGAAGAGGACACUUAGUGGCGGACGGGGGAGUAACGCGUGAGGAACCUGCCUCUCAGAGGGGGACAACAGUUGGAAACGACUGCUAAUACCGCAUAACAUAUCUGUAUCGCAUGGUAUGGAUAUCAAAGAUUUAUCGCUGAGAGAUGGCCUCGCGUCUGAUUAGCUAGUUGGUAGGGUAACGGCCUACCAAGGCGACGAUCAGUAGCCGGACUGAGAGGUUGGCCGGCCACAUUGGGACUGAGAUACGGCCCAG